GAGAGUUUGAUCCUGGCUCAGAUUGAACGCUGGCGGCAGGCCUAACACAUGCAAGUCGAGCGGUAGAGAGAAGCUUGCUUCUCUUGAGAGCGGCGGACGGGUGAGUAAUGCCUAGGAAUCUGCCUGGUAGUGGGGGAUAACGUUCGGAAACGGACGCUAAUACCGCAUACGUCCUACGGGAGAAAGCAGGGGACCUUCGGGCCUUGCGCUAUCAGAUGAGCCUAGGUCGGAUUAGCUAGUUGGUGGGGUAAUGGCUCACCAAGGCGACGAUCCGUAACUGGUCUGAGAGGAUGAUCAGUCACACUGGAACUGAGACACGGUCCAGACUCCUACGGGAGGCAGCAGUGGGGAAUAUUGGACAAUGGGCGAAAGCCUGAUCCAGCCAUGCCGCGUGUGUGAAGAAGGUCUUCGGAUUGUAAAGCACUUUAAGUUGGGAGGAAGGGCAGUAAAUUAAUACUUUACUGUUUUGACGUUACCGACAGAAUAAGCACCGGCUAACUCUGUGCCAGCAGCCGCGGUAAUACAGAGGGUGCAAGCGUUAAUCGGAAUUACUGGGCGUAAAGCGCGCGUAGGUGGUUAGUUAAGUUGGAUGUGAAAUCCCCGGGCUCAACCUGGGAACUGCAUUCAAAACUGACUGACUAGAGUAUGGUAGAGGGUGGUGGAAUUUCCUGUGUAGCGGUGAAAUGCGUAGAUAUAGGAAGGAACACCAGUGGCGAAGGCGACCACCUGGACUGAUACUGACACUGAGGUGCGAAAGCGUGGGGAGCAAACAGGAUUAGAUACCCUGGUAGUCCACGCCGUAAACGAUGUCAACUAGCCGUUGGGAGCCUUGAGCUCUUAGUGGCGCAGCUAACGCAUUAAGUUGACCGCCUGGGGAGUACNGCCGCAAGGNUUAAACUCAAAUGAAUUGACGGGGGCCCGCACANCGGUGGAGCAUGUGGUUUAAUUCGAANCACCGCGAAGAACCUUACCAGGCCUNGACAUCCAAUGAGCUUUCUA
Molecule: ribosomal RNA, 999 nt
Filed under: uncultured bacterium
Lineage: Bacteria
Description: bacterial SSU rRNA
Rfam family: Bacterial small subunit ribosomal RNA
Source: RNAcentral